GUAGGUGGCAAGCGUUGUCCGGAAUUAUUGGGCGUAAAGCGCGCGCAGGCGGUUCUUUAAGUCUGAUGUGAAAGCCCACGGCUCAACCGUGGAGGGUCAUUGGAAACUGGAGAACUUGAGUACAGAAGAGGAAAGCGGAAUUCCACGUGUAGCGGUGAAAUGCGUAGAGAUGUGGAGGAACACCAGUGGCGAAGGCGGCUUUCUGGUCUGGAACUGACGCUGAGGCGCGAAAGCGUGGGGAGCAAACAGGAUUAGAUACCCUGGUAGUCCACGCCGUAAACGAUGAGUGCUAAGUGUUAGGGGGUUUCCGCCCCCCUUAGUGCUGCAGCUAACGCAUUAAGCACUCCGCCUGGGAGUACGGCCGCAAGGCUG
This 372-nucleotide ribosomal RNA is filed under the name uncultured organism. RNAcentral describes it as "partial 16S ribosomal RNA". It matches the Rfam family "Bacterial small subunit ribosomal RNA", at positions 527 to 896 of the family's 1533-position model. The record is from RNAcentral.